This 834-nucleotide ribosomal RNA is filed under the name Cylindrium grande. RNAcentral describes it as "partial 28S ribosomal RNA". It matches the Rfam family "Eukaryotic large subunit ribosomal RNA", at positions 87 to 951 of the family's 3401-position model. The record is from RNAcentral. Lineage: Eukaryota; Fungi; Ascomycota; Sordariomycetes; Hypocreales; Cylindriaceae.
CGGCGAGUGAAGCGGCAACAGCUCAAAUUUGAAAUCUGGCCCUAGGCCCGAGUUGUAAUUUGUAGAGGAUGCUUUUGGUGCGGUACUUUCCGAGUUCCCUGGAACGGGACGCCUUAGAGGGUGAGAGCCCCGUACGGUUGGAUACCUAGCCUCUGUAAAGCUCCUUCGACGAGUCGAGUAGUUUGGGAAUGCUGCUCAAAAUGGGAGGUAAAUUUCUUCUAAAGCUAAAUACCGGCCAGAGACCGAUAGCGCACAAGUAGAGUGAUCGAAAGAUGAAAAGCACUUUGAAAAGAGGGUUAAAUAGCACGUGAAAUUGUUGAAAGGGAAGGACUUAUGACCAGACUUUUUCUAGGCGGAUCAUCCGGUGUUCUCACCGGUGCACUUCGCCUAGUUAAGGCCAGCAUCGGUUUCUGUAGAGGGAUAAAAGCAGCAGGAAUGUGGCUCCUCCGGGAGUGUUAUAACCUGUUGUAUAAUACCUUUAUGGGGACCGAGGUUCGCGCUUCGGCAAGGAUGCUGGCAUAAUGGUCAUCAGUCACCCGUCUUGAAACACGGACCAAGGAGUCGAACAUUUAUGCGAGUGUUUGGGUGUUAAACCCUCACGCGUAAUGAAAGUGAACGGAGGUGAGAGCCUUAGGGUGCAUCAUCGACCGAUCCUGAAGUCUUCGGAUGGAUUUGAGUAAGAGCAUAACUGUUCGGACCCGAAAGAUGGUGAACUAUGCGUGGAUAGGGUGAAGCCAGAGGAAACUCUGGUGGAGGCUCGCAGCGGUUCUGACGUGCAAAUCGAUCGUCAAAUCUGCGCAUGGGGGCGAAAGACUAAUCGAACCAUCUAGUAGC